This 420-nucleotide ribosomal RNA is filed under the name uncultured bacterium. RNAcentral describes it as "partial 16S ribosomal RNA". It matches the Rfam family "Bacterial small subunit ribosomal RNA", at positions 360 to 773 of the family's 1533-position model. The record is from RNAcentral.
AAUUUUGGACAAUGGGGGCAACCCUGAUCCAGCCAUCCCGCGUGUGCGAUGAAGGCCUUCGGAUUGUAAAGCACUUUAAGUUGGGAGGAAGGGCUUUAGGUUAAUACCCUGAAGUUUUGACGUUACCAACAGAAUAAGCACCGGCUAACUCUGUGCCAGCAGCCGCGGUAAUAUAGGGGGUGCAAGCGUUAAUCGGAAUUACUGGGCGUAAACGGCGCGAAGUUGUUUAGUUAGAAUGGGGUGGAAAUCCCGGGCUUAACCUGGGAACUGCUUUCAUAACUGCUGAGCUAGAGUACGGUAGAGGGUAGUGGAAUUUCCUGUGUAGCGGUGAAAUGCGUAGAUAUAGGAAGGAACACCAGUGGCGAAGGCGACUACCUGGACUGAUACUGACACUGAGGUGCGAAAGCGUGGGGAGCAAAC